UGGGGAAUUUUGGACAAUGGGCGAAAGCCUGAUCCAGCAAUGCCGCGUGUGUGAAGAAGGCCUUCGGGUUGUAAAGCACUUUUGUCCGGAAAGAAAUCCUUGGCUCUAAUACAGUCGGGGGAUGACGGUACCGGAAGAAUAAGCACCGGCUAACUACGUGCCAGCAGCCGCGGUAAUACGUAGGGUGCAAGCGUUAAUCGGAAUUACUGGGCGUAAAGCGUGCGCAGGCGGUUUGCUAAGACCGAUGUGAAAUCCCCGGGCUCAACCUGGGAACUGCAUUGGUGACUGGCAGGCUAGAGUAUGGCAGAGGGGGGUAGAAUUCCACGUGUAGCAGUGAAAUGCAUAGAGAUGUGGAGGAAUACCGAUGGCGAAGGCAGCCCCCUGGGCCAAUACUGACGCUCAUGCACGAAAGCGUGGGGAGCAAACAGGAUUAGAUACCCUGGUAGUCCACGCCCUAAAACGAUGUCAACUAGUUGUUGGGGAUUCAUUUCCUUAGUAACGUAGCUAACGCGUGAAGUUGACCGCCUGGGGAGUACGGUCGCAAGAUUAAAACUUAAAUGAAUUGACGGGGUCAUAGCUGUUUCCU
This 586-nucleotide ribosomal RNA is filed under the name uncultured bacterium. RNAcentral describes it as "partial 16S ribosomal RNA". It matches the Rfam family "Bacterial small subunit ribosomal RNA", at positions 355 to 1375 of the family's 1533-position model. The record is from RNAcentral.